AGAUUGAACGCUGGCGGCAUGCCUUACACAUGCAAGUCGAACGGCAGCACGGGAGCAAUCCUGGUGGCGAGUGGCGAACGGGUGAGUAAUACAUCGGAACGUGCCCAAUCGUGGGGGAUAACGCAGCGAAAGCUGUGCUAAUACCGCAUAAGAUCUACGGAUGAAAGCAGGGGAUCGCAAGACCUUGCGCGAAUGGAGCGGCCGAUGGCAGAUUAGGUAGUUGGUGAGGUAAAGGCUCACCAAGCCUUCGAUCUGUAGCUGGUCUGAGAGGACGACCAGCCACACUGGGACUGAGACACGGCCCAGACUCCUACGGGAGGCAGCAGUGGGGAAUUUUGGACAUGGCGAAAGCCUGAUCCAGCCAUGCGCGUGCAGGAUGAAGGCCUUCGGUUGUAACUGCUUUUGUACGGAACGAAAGUCUACUUUAUAAUAAGAGGAUCAUGACGUAACGUAAGAAUAAGCAACCGCUAAC
Molecule: ribosomal RNA, 472 nt
Filed under: uncultured soil bacterium
Lineage: Bacteria
Description: bacterial SSU rRNA
Rfam family: Bacterial small subunit ribosomal RNA
Source: RNAcentral